GGUUAAGUUAACAAGGGCGCAUGGUGAAUGCCUUGGCACUAGGAGCCGAUGAAGGACGGGACUAACACCGAUAUGCUUCGGGGAGCUGUACGUAAGCUAUGAUCCGGAGAUUUCCGAAUGGGGCAACCCAGCAGUUUUAAUCAACUGUUACCACUAGAUGAAUUCAUAGUCUAGUUGGAGGUAAACGCUGUGAACUGAAACAUCUCAUUAGCAGCAGGAAUAUAAAGAAAUUUCGAUUCCCUAAGUAGCGGCGAGCGAACGGGGAGCAGCCCAAACCAAAGUGCUUGCACUUUGGGGUUGUAGGACUGAACAUUUGAGUUACCAAAGAACUUGAUAGUCGAAGGAUUUGGGAAAAUCCGCCAUAGAUGGUGAUAGCCCAGUAGAUUAAAUCAAAUUCUCUCAGUUCAGGAUCCUGAGUACGGCGGAACACGUGAAAUUCCGUCGGAAUCCGGGAGGACCAUCUCCCAAGGCUAAAUACUACCUAGUGACCGAUAGUGAACCAGUACCGUGAGGGAAAGGUGAAAAGCACCCCGGGAGGGGAGUGAAAUAGUUCCUGAAACCAUGUGCCUACAAUAAGUCAGAGCGCGUUAAUGCGUGAUGGCGUGCCUUUUGUAGAAUGAACCGGCGAGUUAUGAUCCCGUGCAAGGUUAAGACUAAAAAGUCGGAGCCGUAGCGAAAGCGAGUCUGAAAUGGGCGUUUUGAGUACGAGGUUAUAGACCCGAAACCAGGUGACCUAUCCAUGUCCAGGUUGAAGGUGCGGUAAAACGCACUGGAGGACCGAACCCGUGUAAGUUGAAAAUUGCUGGGAUGAGGUGUGGAUAGCGGUGAAAUUCCAAACGAACUUGGAGAUAGCUGGUUCUCUCCGAAAUAGCUUUAGGGCUAGCCUCGGAAUUAGGAUCAUGGAGGUAGAGCACUAUUUGGACUAGGGGCCCGUCUUGGGUUACUGAAUUCAGAUAAACUCCGAAUGCCAUUGAUUCAUAUCCGGGAGUCAGACGAUGAGUGAUAAGAUCCACCGUCGAAAGGGGAACAGCCCAGACCAUCAGUUAAGGUCCCUAAAUGUAUGCUAAGUGGAAAAGGAUGUGGAGUUGCAUAGACAACUAGGAUGUUGGCUCAGAAGCAGCCACCAUUUAAAGAGUGCGUAAUAGCUCACUAGUCGAGUGAUCCUGCGCCGAAAAUGUACCGGGGCUAAGCAUACUACCGAAACCAUGGAUGCGACCAUUAGGUCGCGUGAUAGGAGAGCGUUCUAAGGGCGGUGAAGCAAGAUCGUGAGGACUUGUGGAGCGCUUAGAAGUGAGAAUGCCGGUAUGAGUAGCGAAAGAUAGGUGAGAAUCCUAUCCACCGAAUGACUAAGGUUUCCUGGGGAAGGCUCGUCCUCCCAGGGUUAGUCGGGACCUAAGUCGAGGCCGAGAGGCGUAGACGAUGGAUAACAGGUUGAGAUUCCUGUACUAGUUAAGUGCGUUUGAGCAAUGGAGGGACGCAGGAGGCUAAGAUGUGCAUUCUGUUGGAUUAGAAUGUCCAAGCAGUAAGUCUUGUGAAGAGUCAAAUGCUUUUCACUUUAAGGACAAGCUGUGAUGGGGAGCGAAAUUUAGUAGCGAAGCGUCUGAUGUCACACUGCCGAGAAAAGCUUCUAGUGAGUACUUAACUACCCGUACCGCAAACCGACACAGGUAGUCGAGGAGAGAAUCCUAAGGUGAGCGAGUGAACUCUCGUUAAGGAACUCGGCAAAAUGACCCCGUAACUUCGGGAGAAGGGGUGCUGAUCGCAAGAUCAGCCGCAGUGAAUAGGCCCAGGCGACUGUUUAUCAAAAACACAGGUCUCUGCAAAAUCGUAAGAUGACGUAUAGGGGCUGACGCCUGCCCGGUGCUGGAAGGUUAAAAGGAUGGGUUAGCUUCGGCGAAGCUCAGAAUUGAAGCCCCAGUAAACGGCGGCCGUAACUAUAACGGUCCUAAGGUAGCGAAAUUCCUUGUCGGGUAAGUUCCGACCCGCACGAAAGGCGUAACGAUCUGGGCACUGUCUCAACGAGAGACUCGGUGAAAUUAUAUUGUCCGUGAAGAUGCGGACUACCCGCGACAGGACGGAAAGACCCCAUGGAGCUUUACUGUAGCUUGAUAUUGAGUGUUUGUACAGCUUGUACAGGAUAGGUAGGAGCCAUAGAAACCGGAACGCUAGUUUCGGUGGAGGCGUUGGUGGGAUACUACCCUCGCUGUAUGACCACUCUAACCCGCACCACUAAUCGUGGUGGGAGACAGUGUCAGGUGGGCAGUUUGACUGGGGCGGUCGCCUCCUAAAAAGUAACGGAGGCGCCCAAAGGUUCCCUCAGAAUGGUUGGAAAUCAUUCGCAGAGUGUAAAGGCACAAGGGAGCUUGACUGCGAGACAGACAGGUCGAGCAGGGACGAAAGUCGGGCUUAGUGAUCCGGUGGUACCGUAUGGAAGGGCCAUCGCUCAACGGAUAAAAGCUACCCUGGGGAUAACAGGCUUAUCUCCCCCAAGAGUCCACAUCGACGGGGAGGUUUGGCACCUCGAUGUCGGCUCAUCGCAUCCUGGGGCUGUAGUCGGUCCCAAGGGUUGGGCUGUUCGCCCAUUAAAGCGGUACGCGAGCUGGGUUCAGAACGUCGUGAGACAGUUCGGUCCCUAUCCGUCGCGGGCGUAGGAAAUUUGAGAGGACCUGUCCUUAGUACGAGAGGACCGGGAUGGACAUACCUCUGGUGUACCAGUUGUGCCGCCAGGCGCAUCGCUGGGUAGCUACGUAUGGAUGUGAUAAACGCUGAAAGCAUCUAAGUGUGAAACACACCUCGAGAUGAGAUUUCCCAUUCCUUUAUGGAAGUAAGACCCCUGAAAGAUGAUCAGGUAGAUAGGUUAGAAGUGGCAGUGCGGUGACGCAUGAAGCGGACUAAUACUAAUCGGUCGAGGACUUAACCAA
RNAcentral lists this ribosomal RNA (2921 nucleotides) under Lactiplantibacillus plantarum. RNAcentral's name for it is "LSU rRNA". It matches the Rfam family "Bacterial large subunit ribosomal RNA". Lineage: Bacteria; Bacillati; Bacillota; Bacilli; Lactobacillales; Lactobacillaceae. The record is from RNAcentral.